This 683-nucleotide ribosomal RNA is filed under the name Delma australis (marble-faced Delma). Its description in RNAcentral is "partial 16S ribosomal RNA". The stretch from base 252 to 421 matches the Rfam family "Archaeal large subunit ribosomal RNA", at positions 1878 to 2091 of the family's 2987-position model. Lineage: Eukaryota; Metazoa; Chordata; Lepidosauria; Squamata; Pygopodidae. The record is from RNAcentral.
UCCCAACACAUAAAUAACCCCCUGACACCUCACAGAGCAACUCUAUUAAAUAAUAGAAGAACUAAUGCGAAAACUAGUAAUAAGAACACACUCUCCCCGACACCCCCCUCAAUCAGAAAUAGAUAAAUUACUGAAAAUUAACAAACUACAAAAAGAAACAAACCAACACAUCAAGCAAAAAUUCACACCUCUUUGUGACCCCAACACAGGAGUGUAUAAAGGACAGAUUAAAAGCCCAACAAGGAAUUCAGCUAAUAGACUCCAACUGUUUACCAAAAACAUAGCCUUUAGCACUACAAGUAUUAAAGGUCUCGCCUGCCCAGUGAUUCUUUCAACGGCCGCGGUAUCCUAACCGUGCAAAGGUAGCGUAAUCAUUUGUCUCCUAAAUAGAGACUUGUAUGAACGGCUAACUGAGAGUCUAACUGUCUCCUAAGGCCAAUCAAUGAAACUGAUCUCCCAGUACAAAAGCUGAGAUAAACACAUAAGACGAGAAGACCCUGUGGAGCUUUAAAUAUACACUAUUUCUUUAACUAACCUNAACUACGGAAUCAACACACAUGACACAUAGUGAAAUCUUUUUAGUUGGGGGGACUGAGGAAUAAAAAAAAACUUCCAUGACAAGGGACACCCCCUACCAAGGCCCACAAGCCAAAAUAACUUCUUGACCCAGACAUCUGAUCAAC